This 4467-nucleotide long non-coding RNA is filed under the name Solanum lycopersicum (tomato). RNAcentral's name for it is "long non-coding RNA (SLYC_LNC001025)". The record is from RNAcentral. Lineage: Eukaryota; Viridiplantae; Streptophyta; Magnoliopsida; Solanales; Solanaceae.
CCUAAUACAAGUCCUUAGACAUCUUUCAUUGCAUAAUCGUAAAAAUAGAAAAAAAAUUUAAACUUUUCAUACCACAUCCUAUGCUAUAACAUUACAUUAUAUAUGUAUAUAAUAUAAUAAUACAUAGUUAGACUGUAAUGUCUCUUUUCCAUCUUAAGACACAAUUCAAUAUAAUAUAAUAGAAUAGGGACAUGAUCCUUCACAACAUAAUAUAUAAUUCUAAGCUAUUACAUUAUAUUAUAGGAACUUCACAUAGGGAAAUCCAUGAAUCAUAAGGAUCCCUCUUCUGGAACUUAGAAGUUCUAUCCAAGAUCUUCACCUAGAAGACUUCCUCUAGCCAUCACCACCUACACUUGGUGUAAAAAGAUAAUGAAGAAUCAUAUUAGUACAGGAAUGCACUAAGUAUGGUAACCAUGCAAAAACAUGUAUUUAAAGAGGACAUUAAAGUAGAAAUCAUGCAACAUGUAUUUUCUCGUAAACUUCAUGAACAUAGGAACAUAUAAGCUCAAUAUAGUUCACAUACAUAAAAUAGACAUGGAUAAUAAGCAUAAUAUCACAUAAAGCCAUUUAUCAUACUAAUAAGCAUAUUCAAUAUACAUCUUAUAUUACCUCUCUUUUAUUUUACAUCGUUUCUUAACUAACCCUCGAACUGUACCUUGUGCAAUGUAUCACAUUGAUGUCACGUUACAAUAGUAUUUCAUAAUAUGUUAAAUAACACUACCACAUAUAUUCACAAUUCAUAAGCACAUCAAUGAAAUCAACUUCACAUAAGAACCAUCACCUAAGUGAACUCCUAAGUUAGACUACUGCAUAUGUAGGUAGCAUACCAUAAUACUACUUCCACCAAGUGGGCCUAAGAAGUCACCCUAGUCUAGACACAACAUACAUCACAUGUCAUAACACAUUCACUUACAACUAUACAUAAUUACACAUGAUUCAUGUAAUCAUAUAAGGAUUCUUUCCUUUAAUAAAACCUUAGUCAUAAAACAUUUAGUUCAUAUAAUAGGUAAACUACCCUCAAAACCCCUUCACAAUCUUACUUGUGCAAUGUACACAUGGAGUCCCAUACCCCCUCAUAUACUAAGUAAACACAUUUAGAAGCCAUAAGUGUAAUUCACAUGCAUAGUCAUAAUUCAUAUCUUAACAUAACAAAGUCACUUAACAUGCAUUCAUACAAUUCAUAUAGAAAAUAAGUAUUUACUUCAUAAGGGUCUCCAAUCCUCUCCUUUCUUGGAGACAUCUUGUGCAAUGUAUAGGUAGGGUCCAUAGUCCUAUAUACCAAGUACACUUCUCAAGGAAUUUAGAUUAGAAUUCAUAUUCAUAUAUUAGCUAAUUAUUAACCAUUGGGAGACAUAGACAUAAAAGACAUAGACCAUGUGAGCUACAUGAAAUCCGAUGAUCUACUCCCACACCAAAAAAGAGAGGAUUAACACUUUUUGAAGGUUCAACAAUCGUACAUAGCUAUUCUCGGUGGAUCCACUAACCUAGAGUCCUAUGUGGGCACAUUGUUAAGGGACAUGGAGAUUUCUUCUAAAAACCUUGACUUUCGAACGUGAGGGUUUCCAUUUGAUGAAACAACACAUAUAUUGGGACUCCGGACUUUCUAAUGUAAAGAAACCCAUGUGGGAGGACGGACUUACUAACGUGAGACCUCCAUGUCAUUUACAUUCCCUUUCGAUGCUAAUCAAUAACUGUAUUAUUAAACAUCAUUAGGCCUUUAGAUAACAUUAGUUCAUAUAGAAUAGGGCUUCGAUACUUGAUCCCUCAUAUAUCCUAUAGCUCAAAGGAUUCUUCGGUCAGAAUUCGACAUUCAUCAUAGAACCUACCUUAUGUGAGAAUAUAAUUUCACAUAAUCAUAUCAUAUUCAUACAUGCAUGUCUGUGUGUAUAUAUAUGUGAAAUCUACCUUCACAUAAACACAUUUAGGCACACAUGUUCAGAACUUCAUAAGUCAUAUACUUUAUAUGAAUAAAAAUAGGUAAUGAUGCAUCGGAGAACUAUCAUUUCCUUCGUCAUCAUGAAUCUAUCCUACUCAUGAAUAUGCAUGAAGUGUGUGUGUACAUUUGUCAAAAUGAUUACAUAAUGGUUAUCACAUAGCAUUGAGGAAGCCACCCUCUAAAGCCACAACACACUUAAAACAUUUUAAAAGUCUCAAGUCAUACACACAUAUAGAGCAUUAAGUACUAUAGACUACACACACUCAUAUUACAUCAUACGAGACAAGUACAUCUUUAGCAAUAAGAUAUACAGCUCCUGGCAUACAUUCAUCACAAAUUCAUAUGGGGUUCAUAUAGGUAGUGGACAUGCGAUAAGGACAUUCUUCAUCAUUAACCAUAUAGACCACACCUAACUCUAACAUGAUCAUCACACUUAAACAUAUAAAAAUAUCCCCACAGCUAGAAUAAGAGAGUAGUGUAGAAGACUAUACACAAAAAUUUACAUAACAUCAAUUCACUUAGACAUGAUAUUAGAAUUAAGGCUAAGUCCUUCAACUUCCUCAUAUAGAAAUCAUCAUAUCAAUUCAUAUUAUAUCUAAUGCCUUUAAGGCCAUGAUCAUAACACAUAAACAUGUACAAGAAAGUAAACACCGCCAACAUAGGUGGACCAUACCAAUCAACACGAUUCAAUGUACACUCUAGGCUAAUUAGAAGAAAUAUGUCAACUUACCAAAUUUCCAAUCUUGUGAUCAUCAUUGAUAAUUCCUCCACAAUUCAUACUAAAUGAUAUAAAAAGUAAUAACAACAAGCAAUUCAGUACAAUCUAAUCACAAUUUUAUAAACAUCGAAUAAAUAUCACAAGACCCACAUUAUACGCUAAUGUGAGAAAUUAGGAGGUCAUGUGUUAUUCAUUAAAUUGGAUAGAAAUUAAUCAUAAAAUCAGCAGACAAACUUAAAUUCAUCAUUACAAUACUUUUGAAUUCAAUUUGAGAAUGAAACCAUGGCUUUAUUGAAAUAGAUGGUUUUUGACUUAGAAUUCGUGUUAAGAAAACCUUUGAAAGUACUCCAUAGAUGAAUGGUUAUAUAUGGAUGAAGGAUCACCAUACCUUAUACAUUAAAAUCCCAUGAAAAUCUGAGAAGAAAGAUCCAAGAAUCUAAAUCCAUAGCUUGUUUUUGAGCUUGGUCUUGAAUGGAGGUUUCGAGGGGUUUUUGGAAGAAAAGAGAACCUUGGGGAUUUGAUUUCUUAAUGUGUUGGGGUUUUUUAUUGGGAAAAGGUUUAAAAAGAUGUUAAAACAGUUCAUAAAACGUCCCCUAUGUUAAAAAAAACCCCACACAAAUAGGGGCUCUUAGACAUGUCAAAAUUGACUUAAAAACGAGGCAACCGGAUUGUGUAAUGGGCUGCACAUCACGGGGAAGACUUCCAGUUAUUCCCCAAAUAAUAUUUGAGGCAGUGAGGUGCGUUCUAGCAGCGCGUUGCGGGGGCAAGGUCUCAUUCAUGCUCCUGCACGCUGCCUUGGGCAGCCGGGCCCUUCGGGUUGUCUCCGGGAAGGCGUACCCCAGAUUUUUUUACCCUUAAAAUGUAUAUUGAGGUACAAGGGUUAACUAAUUGCCUGUCAACUCAAAAAAAGACCUAAAAUCAAUAAAAACAUACAAGGACUCACUAGGACAUCUAAAGACCAUCUCUCGAACAUCUUGGACGUUUGACCUCGAAAUGACUUCAAAUCAUAUAUCUAUACUUUAAAACACCUAAUUAAAAUGUUAUUAACCUUUUUAGUCACAUGCUAGUCUCUGGCUACCUUAGUGCAUUUAACGGGCGUGUCAUCACCAAUCACAAGCUAUCAUAACUGAAGUAAAAGUUAGGAUCACAAAUACCAAAUCUCCUUCGAAAACAAUCAUCAUGGUCUUACCAUCAACCAACAAAUUACAUCAAUCAAAAGUAGUGAACAAAAGAACUAGGUCAAUUGCAUCAUUUGUACCCCAAUUAACAUCAAUUCAUAACCUACGGUUAGGGGAAUUAGGGUUCAUCAUAAAUUCAUCAAUAAUUAGAUCCAAUCCCAACAAUAAAUUACCCUAGUCAAUAAAUACAUGAAUAAGAAUAGAUAAAGCAAGUCUAAUAAUAAAAUCAUUCUUUAAUUUCGAUCAAUUCAUGACCAAGAUCCAAGAUUUGGGGAAUUUGGGGAAGGGAACAUGAUCAACAUAAAAUUGUAUCAAUUAAAAUCAAUUAAUCAAUAAUCUAUACUUAAUUAGUCAUAGGAAAUCACAAUUUAUCAUCAAUUUAAAGUUUAGAAGAAAACCAAUCAGAAUUGGAAAACCCCAUGGAAUUGGAUAUUUUGAAAAUCAACUUUCUGAGGAUCUAUUGGGAAAGGAAUCCCAAGAGUGAAAAAACCAUACCUUAUUGAAGCUUAAUCAAGGAAAUUGAAGUGAAAUCCUAGAGAAAUUGACCUUCUUCUUCAUGUUUUCUUCCUUUUUCAAUGGAGGAAUUGGAGAGAGAGAAAGCAGAAAGAGGUGAGAGCUUUUGGGUUUUAUUUUUG